GCCGGGCGUGAUGGCACGCGCCUGUAGUCCCAGCUACUCGGGAGGCUGAGGCAGGAGAAUCACUUGAACCCAGGAGGUGGAGGUUGCAGUGAGCCAAGAUUGCACCAUUGCACUCCAGCCUGGGUGACAGAGUGAGACUCUGUCUCAA
This 148-nucleotide non-coding RNA is filed under the name Gorilla gorilla gorilla (western lowland gorilla). The record is from Rfam by way of RNAcentral. Lineage: Eukaryota; Metazoa; Chordata; Mammalia; Primates; Hominidae.